Molecule: ribosomal RNA, 462 nt
Filed under: Nocardiaceae bacterium 'ARUP UnID 442'
Lineage: Bacteria; Bacillati; Actinomycetota; Actinomycetes; Mycobacteriales; Nocardiaceae
Description: bacterial SSU rRNA
Rfam family: Bacterial small subunit ribosomal RNA
Source: RNAcentral
GGACGAACGCUGGCGGCGUGCUUAACACAUGCAAGUCGAGCGGUAAGGCCCUUCGGGGUACACGAGCGGCGAACGGGUGAGUAACACGUGGGUGAUCUGCCUCGCACUUCGGGAUAAGCCUGGGAAACUGGGUCUAAUACCGGAUAUGACCUCUGGUUGCAUGAUCGGUGGUGGAAAGAUUUAUCGGUGCGAGAUGGGCCCGCGGCCUAUCAGCUUGUUGGUGGGGUAAUGGCCUACCAAGGCGACGACGGGUAGCCGGCCUGAGAGGGCGACCGGCCACACUGGGACUGAGACACGGCCCAGACUCCUACGGGAGGCAGCAGUGGGGAAUAUUGCACAAUGGGCGAAAGCCUGAUGCAGCGACGCCGCGUGAGGGAUGACGGCCUUCGGGUUGUAAACCUCUUUCGACAGGGACGAAGCGCAAGUGACGGUACCUGUAGAAGAAGCACCGGCCAACUACGU